RNAcentral lists this transfer RNA (72 nucleotides) under Schistocerca americana (American grasshopper). RNAcentral describes it as "tRNA-Glu". It matches the Rfam family "tRNA". From Rfam's summary of the family: Transfer RNA (tRNA) molecules are approximately 80 nucleotides in length. Their secondary structure includes four short double-helical elements and three loops (D, anti-codon, and T loops). Further hydrogen bonds mediate the characteristic L-shaped molecular structure. tRNAs have two regions of fundamental functional importance: the anti-codon, which is responsible for specific mRNA codon recognition, and the 3' end, to which the tRNAs corresponding amino acid is attached (by aminoacyl-tRNA synthetases). tRNAs cope with the degeneracy of the genetic code in two manners: having more than one tRNA (with a specific anti-codon) for a particular amino acid; and 'wobble' base-pairing, i.e. permitting non-standard base-pairing at the 3rd anti-codon position. Lineage: Eukaryota; Metazoa; Arthropoda; Insecta; Orthoptera; Acrididae. The record is from RNAcentral. RNAcentral also lists the same sequence under 4 other names.
UCCGGUGUGGUCUAGUGGCUAGGAUACCUGGCUUUCACGCAGGAGGCCCGGGUUCGAUUCCCGGUACCGGAA